RNAcentral lists this ribosomal RNA (497 nucleotides) under uncultured bacterium. Its description in RNAcentral is "partial 16S ribosomal RNA". It matches the Rfam family "Bacterial small subunit ribosomal RNA", at positions 28 to 507 of the family's 1533-position model. The record is from RNAcentral.
GAUGAACGCUGGCGGCGUGCCUAAUACAUGCAAGUCGAGCGAACGGACGAGAAGCUUGCUUCUCUGAUGUUAGCGGCGGACGGGUGAGUAACACGUGGAUAACCUACCUAUAAGACUGGGAUAACUUCGGGAAACCGUAGCUAAUACCGGAUAAUAUUUUGAACCGCAUGGUUCAAAAGUGAAAGACGGUCUUGCUGUCACUUAUAGAUGGAUCCGCGCUGCAUUAGCUAGUUGGUAAGGUAACGGCUUACCAAGGCAACGAUGCAUAGCCGACCUGAGAGGGUGAUCGGCCACACUGGAACUGAGACACGGUCCAGACUCCUACGGGAGGCAGCAGUAGGGAAUCUUCCGCAAUGGGCGAAAGCCUGACGGAGCAACGCCGCGUGAGUGAUGAAGGUCUUCGGAUCGUAAAACUCUGUUAUUAGGGAAGAACAUAUGUGUAAGUAACUGUGCACAUCUUGACGGUUCCUAAUCAGAAAGCCACGGCUAACUACGUG